Molecule: long non-coding RNA, 329 nt
Organism: Canis lupus familiaris (dog)
Lineage: Eukaryota; Metazoa; Chordata; Mammalia; Carnivora; Canidae
Exons: 3
Source: RefSeq, a predicted model, not a curated record
CAGAACCUAGCAGAGAUCUUGGAACCUAUCAGGUGACCAGUAAAUAUUUUGGUGAUGAAUGGACUCAUAGGUAUGGUGAAGCCAACAGAUCAGGAAACAAUUGCCACUGAGAAGACAGUUCAUCACAGUUCCCAAGAGAAAGAAGCACAUCACAACACACAGGCCACACUGGCUUCCAUGUAAACAAUGGGAAAGGCAGGCCAGCAGUAUGUGGUACAGUACUCUCUUGUGAUGCUGGGCAGCAGUGAGCCAGAGCUCCCAGUCAGCCAUGUGACCAUGAAGGUAAACAACUGAUACACUGACAACCAUUCUGUACCCAUACAACUGUU